AGAGGUCAUGUACCAUGUGGUCGACCUUGCUGACGCUGAAGAGGUUUCUGUGUAAAAAUGAUGACAUUGAGACAAACAGACCAGUUCUGGCUGCCGUGGAGGUCAACACACCACUGAUCUACUGGCUGCCCUUCAACGUGAUGCCCAGCCGAUGCCUGACCACCGACGGAACUAGGGCUGCACGAUAAGUCGCAUGUGUUUGUCAGGCGCAUCUCCUCAGUAAUGCCGGUUCCUUGAUUAGUAUUAAAUCGCCAUCAGCUGUUUUCAGAUGUAGCAGCUUUAACUACACAGAGCCGUAGUUCACUGACAAUCGGGGCAAUUUCGCAUUAAUUAUCGCGGACGUAUCGGCUGCGAUAUGUAUGCGAUAUGGCCCAGCUUGUCAGGGAACUACGGCUCUGUAGUUAAAGCUGCUCCAUCUGAAAACAGCUGAUGGCGAUUUAAUACUAAUCAAGGAACCGGCAUUACUGAGGAGAUGCGCCUGACAAACACAUGCGAUUUAUCGUGCAGCCCUAGACGGAACCCGUUAAAUCUCCUUAUCCGUUUACAUCCCAUAUAUAUAUAUGUGUAUAUCUUUUCCUCCUAGGACUUUUUGUUCCUCCCUGAGGUUUUUCUCCUAGGGUUUUUUUAACCCCGGGGAGUCAAGCAACAUUGGCUUAACUUAGCACCCUCUUGUAUACGAGACAUUAUUAAUUUGCUCACUUGUAAAGUUUAUUCAUAGCCGCUGUAUUUUGCUACUUAUAUUGUCUGUCGAUUUUUCUGUUUCCCCUGCUUCUUUUAAUGUAAAGCUGCUUUGAAACAACUACAAAUUGUGAAAAGCGCUAUAUAAAUAAAAUUGAAAUUGAAAUGUCUCUUUCCUGUUUUACAGAUGCAGUGAGGGAGUGAUUCCCCAACAUCGAGGUGGCAGAGAUCCGGGACCUUCUACGGAGGAAGUGCAACAAUGCCAGUUACAAGGCCUCCAGUAGUUCAAAUCAGAGCUAGAUGUCCAUAUAGUACAAGUUGUUCGCAAUUGUUCUCUUCCCGGCAUUUCAAAGAAAGUCGACUGUUUAAGGUUCCCCAUUUUGCCAAUAUCUGUUUUGUGUGUUACUUUUGUGUCAUUAAUAAAGAUCCUUUUUUGAAAUGCA
Molecule: non-coding RNA, 1121 nt
Organism: Paramisgurnus dabryanus
Lineage: Eukaryota; Metazoa; Chordata; Actinopteri; Cypriniformes; Cobitidae
Source: RefSeq, a predicted model, not a curated record